CAUUAAGUCAUAGCAGAAAGUAAUUUUGAAAAUCAAAAGACAGGAAGUUUGACGAAUACUGCUAAGAACAUUAGUUUAAGGUCUCCUAUUUCGCACAACUACAAGCUCUUUGAAAGCAAAUAUCACUCUACCACCAUCAAAUAUAUCCUUAGUUUGAUCACAACACCAAAUCGGUAGCUGAGUGCUGGAAAAAGGAUUUAAGAUAACCAUCAUUAAAGCAGGAGAAGCUAAUGACUAUUUGACCUUUACAGAGCAAGCCAGAUUCUACUGCUGCUGAUUCUGCUGGUGAGGUGCAUUUGGAGGAGGUGGCAUUCCUGGGCGAGGAGGUCCAAAGACUGGAACUUGCCCACCAGGAGGUGGUGGAGGCAUCCCCGGAUGAGGUGGUCCACCAGGCAUUCCCGG
This 402-nucleotide unclassified non-coding RNA is filed under the name Hevea brasiliensis (rubber tree). The record is from RNAcentral. Lineage: Eukaryota; Viridiplantae; Streptophyta; Magnoliopsida; Malpighiales; Euphorbiaceae.